This 760-nucleotide long non-coding RNA is filed under the name Suricata suricatta (meerkat). RNAcentral's name for it is "lncRNA (ENSSSUG00005018332.1)". Lineage: Eukaryota; Metazoa; Chordata; Mammalia; Carnivora; Herpestidae. The record is from RNAcentral.
AGAAAGUAAGGGAGUGGAGAGAAAAAUAAUUUGUCCCCUGAUUCUAAAGCCACGCGUCCGGGACAUUUUUUGUGGUCGUGAUGGGCUAAAGUCUGAGUGUAACUAGGACAAAGGUAUUUUCCAAGGGAUCUUCAUCUCAAAAGCAAAUCUGCAUUUACUUAACAAGCAGCAAGGAGAACAGCUCCCCUGGGAGCCAACGGUGCUACAAAAUCUGCCUUCAGCUGUUACUUCUCCAGGUUAAAUGACCCUACCGAGCAAAACUCACCGUCAGAUACCGGGUCUUCACAGCGUGUAAUUUCACCCCCCCAGAUUAUAAAAAUCAUGGCCUUCUUUUGACAAUGGCCAGCCAAAUGGAAUGAUCUGUGAUACCACGAACUCAUAGGCUAGUGCAGGAACAUCAUGAAUGCAACCAAGCGCCUGAAGAUUUCCUGGGCUUCCAAUGCCCAUCCACCGGGAGGCCUGCUUUUAGUUACUCUAGAACUUUCCAGUAUUAAAACUCUGGAGCCUUACCAGGAGAAGGCAACUUGGAAUUUACCUCCUCAAAGUCCCUUGGGCUUACAAAACCAGGCCGGCAGCGAUCUCCUGCAUGGGCGGAGUGCCAGGAUUUUGGCCAUCCUUCCUGAGCCCUUUUGGUACCUGCCAGGGUGAGGUCCAGGCCUGGGAGGCGGCAGCAGGUCUAAAACCUGGUGAGGAUGAAGGGUUACACCACUCACAGGCCGAGGGGGUGUCCCUCUCCCCAGACGGGUUCAGGAAUGAAUUA